CCUACGGGUGGCAGCAGUGGGGAAUAUUGCACAAUGGGCGAAAGCCUGAUGCAGCAACGCCGCGUGAGCGAUGAAGGCCUUCGGGUCGUAAAGCUCUGUCCUCAAGGAAGAAAAUGACGGUACUUGCGGAGGAAGCAGCGGCUAACUACGUGCCAGCAGCCGCGGUAAUACGUAGGGGGCUAGCGUUAUCAGGAAUUACUGGGCGUAAGGGGUGCGGAGGUGGUUACUUAAGUCAGAGGUGAAAGGCUACGGCUCAACCGUAGUAAGCCUUUGAAACUGGGAAACUUGAGUGCAGGAGAGGAGAAUGGAAUUCCUAGUGUAGCGGUGAAAUGCGUAGAUAUUAGGAGGAACACCAGUUGCGAAGGCGGCUCUCUGGACUGUAACUGACACUGAGGCACGAAAGCGUGGGGAGCAAACAGGAUUAGAUACCCGGGUAGUC
Molecule: ribosomal RNA, 439 nt
Filed under: uncultured bacterium
Lineage: Bacteria
Description: partial 16S ribosomal RNA
Rfam family: Bacterial small subunit ribosomal RNA
Source: RNAcentral